This 131-nucleotide small RNA is filed under the name human gut metagenome. Its description in RNAcentral is "Ribosomal protein L10 leader". It matches the Rfam family "Ribosomal protein L10 leader". Rfam says of the family: This family is a putative r-protein leader autoregulatory structure found in B. subtilis and other low-GC Gram-positive bacteria. The record is from RNAcentral.
UUAAAAGCUGUUUUUCCAAAGACAGUAGGUGCUAUUUUUAGCGUAAGUUUUUCGCCUACCGAGGAUGAUCGCAAUAAACUUUUGAUUGUUUUUGCUUCUUUUUCUCGGCAGGAAAAGAAGCUUUUUAUUUG